This 163-nucleotide small nuclear RNA is filed under the name Melipona quadrifasciata. Its description in RNAcentral is "U1 spliceosomal RNA". It matches the Rfam family "U1 spliceosomal RNA". From Rfam's summary of the family: U1 is a small nuclear RNA (snRNA) component of the spliceosome (involved in pre-mRNA splicing). Its 5' end forms complementary base pairs with the 5' splice junction, thus defining the 5' donor site of an intron. There are significant differences in sequence and secondary structure between metazoan and yeast U1 snRNAs, the latter being much longer (568 nucleotides as compared to 164 nucleotides in human). Lineage: Eukaryota; Metazoa; Arthropoda; Insecta; Hymenoptera; Apidae. The record is from Rfam by way of RNAcentral.
AUACUUACCUGGCGUAGAGGUCAACCGUGAUCACUAAGGCGGUUCCUCCAGGGUGAGGCUCUUCCAUUGCACUAAGGUUGAGCUGACCUCUGCGAAUGCUCCUAACGUGGGUAUCUCGGACGUAUAAUUUUUGGUAGUCGGGACUGCGUUCGCGCUCUCCCGU